AUGAGGGGGCUUCCUCCCCGCGCUCUCUCCCGGGACGCCGCCAUCCAUGCCAUCGAGCUCCGACCCCGCCGCUGCCGACAUCUCCGACCCAUGACGAGCAGCUCAGUCAAGAUGUGCGGCAGGGGAGAAAAGGAAGAUUGGGAUGCCGGCAUCAUCUCUGGACGCCGCUGUGCUUCUGCUACUGCUGCAACCCUAGCUAGCACCGACGACGUCAUGGAGCAAGUCAAGACGCAGCAUCUUCACUUCUUUCCUUGCACAUUCCUGUUAAGGAAGCAAAGAAAUCUUGGGUUUAGAAAUGGGAGAAGCACAUAA
Molecule: ribosomal RNA, 312 nt
Filed under: Triticum aestivum (bread wheat)
Lineage: Eukaryota; Viridiplantae; Streptophyta; Magnoliopsida; Poales; Poaceae
Description: partial small subunit ribosomal RNA
Source: RNAcentral